This 1204-nucleotide ribosomal RNA is filed under the name Leuconostoc carnosum. Its description in RNAcentral is "bacterial SSU rRNA". It matches the Rfam family "Bacterial small subunit ribosomal RNA", at positions 256 to 1453 of the family's 1533-position model. Lineage: Bacteria; Bacillati; Bacillota; Bacilli; Lactobacillales; Lactobacillaceae. The record is from RNAcentral.
GGUAAAGGCCUACCAAGACAAUGAUGCAUAGCCGAGUUGAGAGACUGAUCGGCCACAUUGGGACUGAGACACGGCCCAAAUUCCUACGGGAGGCUGCAGUAGGGAAUCUUCCACAAUGGGCGAAAGCCUGAUGGAGCAACGCCGCGUGUGUGAUGAAGGCUUUCGGGUCGUAAAGCACUGUUGUAUGGGAAGAAAAGUUAAGGUAGGGAAUGACCUUAGCCUGACGGUACCAUACCAGAAAGGGACGGCUAAAUACGUGCCAGCAGCCGCGGUAAUACGUAUGUCCCGAGCGUUAUCCGGAUUUAUUGGGCGUAAAGCGAGCGCAGACGGUUGGUUAAGUCUGAUGUGAAAGCCCGGAGCUCAACUCCGGAAAGGCAUUGGAAACUGGUUAACUUGAGUGCAGUAGAGGUAAGUGGAACUCCAUGUGUAGCGGUGGAAUGCGUAGAUAUAUGGAAGAACACCAGCGGCGAAGGCGGCUUACUGGACUGUAACUGACGUUGAGGCUCGAAAGUGUGGGUAGCAAACAGGAUUAGAUACCCUGGUAGUCCACACCGUAAACGAUGAACACUAGGUGUUAGGAGGUUUCCGCCUCUUAGUGCCGAAGCUAACGCAUUAAGUGUUCCGCCUGGGGAGUACGACCGCAAGGUUGAAACUCAAAGGAAUUGACGGGGACCCGCACAAGCGGUGGAGCAUGUGGUUUAAUUCGAAGCAACGCGAAGAACCUUACCAGGUCUUGACAUCCUUUGAAGCUUUUAGAAAUAGAAGUGUUCUCUUCGGAGACAAAGUGACAGGUGGUGCAUGGUCGUCGUCAGCUCGUGUCGUGAGAUGUUGGGUUAAGUCCCGCAACGAGCGCAACCCUUAUUGUUAGUUGCCAGCAUUCAGAUGGGCACUCUAGCGAGACUGCCGGUGACAAACCGGAGGAAGGCGGGGACGACGUCAGAUCAUCAUGCCCCUUAUGACCUGGGCUACACACGUGCUACAAUGGCGUAUACAACGAGUUGCCAACCUGCGAAGGUGAGCUAAUCUCUUAAAGUACGUCUCAGUUCGGACUGCAGUCUGCAACUCGACUGCACGAAGUCGGAAUCGCUAGUAAUCGCGGAUCAGCACGCCGCGGUGAAUACGUUCCCGGGUCUUGUACACACCGCCCGUCACACCAUGGAAGUUUGUAAUGCCCAAAGCCGGUGGCCUAACCGUAAGGAGGAAC